Molecule: ribosomal RNA, 443 nt
Filed under: uncultured bacterium
Lineage: Bacteria
Description: partial 16S ribosomal RNA
Rfam family: Bacterial small subunit ribosomal RNA
Source: RNAcentral
CCUACGGGAGGCAGCAGUGGGGAAUAUUGGUCAAUGGACGCAAGUCUGACCCAGCCACGCCGCGUGAAUGAUGACGGUCCUCUGAUUGUUAAGUUCCGUGUUGGGGGAUGAACACAAUGACGGUACCCCAAUAGCAAGCCUCGGCUAACUACGUGCCAGCAGCAGCUGUAAUACGGAGGUGGCAAGCGUUAUGCGGAAUGAAUGGGCGUAAAGGGUGCGUAGACGGUGCAGUAAGUCUGAUGUGAAAGGUCGGGGCCCAACCCCGGGACUGCAUUGGCAACUGUUGGACUGGAGUACAGGAGAGGUAAGCGGAAUUCGUGGUGUAGCGGUGAAAUGCGUAGAUAUUAGGCGGAACACCAGUGGCGAAGGCGGCUUACUAGACUGUAACUGACGUUGAGGCACGAAAGCGUGGGGAGCAAACAGGAUUAGAUACCCGUGUAGUC